UUCCUCCAUCUCCCUUUUCCCUCUUUCCUCUCUUGAGUGAUAAUGGUGGGAAAGGAUGAUGGAGAUUGAAGAUGAACUGAUGAUGAUUUUGAUGGAGGUUUCGACAUUCUUCCAUGGUUCCAGAUGUUUUACUGGAAACAUUAACCUUUACCCACCAUGUAUAAAGAGUUGGCAUUUUUGCCAAUUGGCAUAUAUUUCAAAG
This is a long non-coding RNA of Coffea eugenioides, 202 nucleotides long. RefSeq lists it as uncharacterized. The record is from RefSeq and is a predicted model, not a curated record. The transcript is spliced from 3 exons. Lineage: Eukaryota; Viridiplantae; Streptophyta; Magnoliopsida; Gentianales; Rubiaceae.